CCUACGGGAGGCUGCAGUGAGGAAUAUUGGGCAAUGGGCGCAAGCCUGACCCAGCAACGCCGCGUGAAGGAAGAAUGCUUUCGGGUUGGAAACUUCUUUUAUGAAGGACGUAACAAGUGACGGUACCUCAUAAAUAAGCCACGUCUAAAUACGUGCCAGCAGCCGCGGUAAUACGUAAGUGGCAAGCGUUAUCCGGAUUUACUGGGUGUAAAGAGCGUGUAGGCGGGAUUGCAAGUCAGAUGUGAAAAUUAUGGGCUCAACCCAUAACCUGGAUUUGAAACUGUCGUCCUUGAGUGAUGGAGAGGCAGGCGGAAUUCCGGGUGUAGCGGUGAAAUGCGUAGAUAUAACGAGGAACACCAGUGGCGAAGGCAGCCUGCUAGACAGCAACUGACGCUGAGGCGCGAAAGUGUGGGGAUCAAACAGGAUUAGAUACCCGGGUAGUC
RNAcentral lists this ribosomal RNA (443 nucleotides) under uncultured bacterium. RNAcentral's name for it is "partial 16S ribosomal RNA". It matches the Rfam family "Bacterial small subunit ribosomal RNA", at positions 338 to 795 of the family's 1533-position model. The record is from RNAcentral.